This 73-nucleotide transfer RNA is filed under the name Chryseobacterium formosum. Its description in RNAcentral is "Chryseobacterium formosus tRNA-Arg". It matches the Rfam family "tRNA". Rfam says of the family: Transfer RNA (tRNA) molecules are approximately 80 nucleotides in length. Lineage: Bacteria; Pseudomonadati; Bacteroidota; Flavobacteriia; Flavobacteriales; Weeksellaceae. The record is from RNAcentral.
GAUUUCGUAACUCAACGGAUAGAGUAUAGGUUUUCUAAACCUAAAGUUACAGGUUCGAAUCCUGUCGAAAUCA